CCUACGGGUGGCAGCAGUGGGGAAUAUUGCGCAAUGGGCGAAAGCCUGACGCAGCGACGCCGCGUGAGGGAUGAAGGUCUUCGGAUCGUAAACCUCUGUCAGCAGGGAAGAACGGUCACUGUGCUAAUCAGCAGUGAAUUGACGGUACCUGCAAAGGAAGCACCGGCUAACUCCGUGCCAGCAGCCGCGGUAAUACGGAGGGUGCGAGCGUUAAUCGGAAUUACUGGGCGUAAAGCGCUCGUAGGCGGUAUGUCAAGUCAAGGGUGAAAUCCCCGCGCACAACGUGGGAACUGCCUUUGAAACGGGCAAACUUGAGUGGGUGAGAGGAAAGUGGAAUGCCAGGUGUAGGAGUGAAAUCCAUAGAUAUCUGGAGGAACAUCAGUGGCGAAGGCGACUAUCCGGCACAUAACUGACGCUGAGGAGCGAAAGCGUGGGUAGCAAACAGGAUUAGAUACCCCAGUAGUC
This 465-nucleotide ribosomal RNA is filed under the name uncultured bacterium. Its description in RNAcentral is "partial 16S ribosomal RNA". It matches the Rfam family "Bacterial small subunit ribosomal RNA", at positions 338 to 795 of the family's 1533-position model. The record is from RNAcentral.